CACACGACUCUCGGCAACGGAUAUCUCGGCUCUCGCAUCGAUGAAGAACGUAGCGAAAUGCGAUACCUGGUGUGAAUUGCAGAAUCCCGCGAACCAUCGAGUCUUUGAACGCAAGUUGCGCCCGAGGCCACUCGGCCGAGGGCACCCCUGCCUGGGCGUCACGC
This 164-nucleotide ribosomal RNA is filed under the name Elymus semicostatus. Its description in RNAcentral is "5.8S ribosomal RNA". It matches the Rfam family "5.8S ribosomal RNA". Rfam says of the family: 5.8S ribosomal RNA (5.8S rRNA) is a component of the large subunit of the eukaryotic ribosome. It is transcribed by RNA polymerase I as part of the 45S precursor that also contains 18S and 28S rRNA. The record is from RNAcentral. Lineage: Eukaryota; Viridiplantae; Streptophyta; Magnoliopsida; Poales; Poaceae.